RNAcentral lists this ribosomal RNA (1850 nucleotides) under Escherichia coli O104:H4 str. C227-11. Its description in RNAcentral is "bacterial LSU rRNA". It matches the Rfam family "Bacterial large subunit ribosomal RNA", at positions 1091 to 2925 of the family's 2925-position model. Lineage: Bacteria; Pseudomonadati; Pseudomonadota; Gammaproteobacteria; Enterobacterales; Enterobacteriaceae. The record is from RNAcentral.
AGCCAGGAUGUUGGCUUAGAAGCAGCCAUCAUUUAAAGAAAGCGUAAUAGCUCACUGGUCGAGUCGGCCUGCGCGGAAGAUGUAACGGGGCUAAACCAUGCACCGAAGCUGCGGCAGCGACGCUUAUGCGUUGUUGGGUAGGGGAGCGUUCUGUAAGCCUGUGAAGGUGUACUGUGAGGUAUGCUGGAGGUAUCAGAAGUGCGAAUGCUGACAUAAGUAACGAUAAAGCGGGUGAAAAGCCCGCUCGCCGGAAGACCAAGGGUUCCUGUCCAACGUUAAUCGGGGCAGGGUGAGUCGACCCCUAAGGCGAGGCCGAAAGGCGUAGUCGAUGGGAAACAGGUUAAUAUUCCUGUACUUGGUGUUACUGCGAAGGGGGGACGGAGAAGGCUAUGUUGGCCGGGCGACGGUUGUCCCGGUUUAAGCGUGUAGGCUGGUUUCCAGGCAAAUCCGGAAAAUCAAGGCUGAGGCGUGAUGACGAGGCACUACGGUGCUGAAGCACAAAUGCCCUGCUUCCAGGAAAAGCCUCUAAGCAUCAGGUAACAUCAAAUCGUACCCCAAACCGACACAGGUGGUCAGGUAGAGAAUACCAAGGCGCUUGAGAGAACUCGGGUGAAGGAACUAGGCAAAAUGGUGCCGUAACUUCGGGAGAAGGCACGCUGAUAUGUAGGUGAAGCGACUUGCUCGUGGAGCUGAAAUCAGUCGAAGAUACCAGCUGGCUGCAACUGUUUAUUAAAACACAGCACUGUGCAAACACGAAAGUGGACGUAUACGGUGUGACGCCUGCCCGGUGCCGGAAGGUUAAUUGAUGGGUCAGCGCAAGCGAAGCUCUUGAUCGAAGCCCGGUAAACGGCGGCCGUAACUAUAACGGUCCUAAGGUAGCGAAAUUCCUUGUCGGGUAAGUUCCGACCUGCACGAAUGGCGUAAUGAUGGCCAGGCUGUCUCCACCCGAGACUGCCAGUGAAAUUGAACUCGCUGUGAAGAUGCAGUGUACCCGCGGCAAGACGGAAAGACCGCCCGUGAACCUUUACUAUAGCUUGACACUGAACAUUGAGCCUUGAUGUGUAGGAUAGGUGGGAGGCUUUGAAGUGUGGACGCCAGUCUGCAUGGAGCCGACCUUGAAAUACCACCCUUUAAUGUUUGAUGUUCUAACGUGGACCCGUAAUCCGGGUUGCGGACAGUGUCUGGUGGGUAGUUUGACUGGGGCGGUCUCCUCCUAAAGAGUAACGGAGGAGCACGAAGGUUGGCUAAUCCUGGUCGGACAUCAGGAGGUUAGUGCAAUGGCAUAAGCCAGCUUGACUGCGAGCGUGACGGCGCGAGCAGGUGCGAAAGCAGGUCAUAGUGAUCCGGUGGUUCUGAAUGGAAGGGCCAUCGCUCAACGGAUAAAAGGUACUCCGGGAUAACAGGCUGAUACCGCCCAAGAGUUCAUAUCGACGGCGGUGUUUGGCACCUCGAUGUCGGCUCAUCACAUCCUGGGGCUGAAGUAGGUCCCAAGGGUAUGGCUGUUCGCCAUUUAAAGUGGUACGCGAGCUGGGUUUAGAACGUCGUGAGACAGUUCGGUCCCUAUCUGCCGUGGGCGCUGGAGAACUGAGGGGGCUGCUCCUAGUACGAGAGGACCGGAGUGGACGCAUCACUGGUGUUCGGGUUGUCAUGCCAAUGGCACUGCCCGGUAGCUAAAUGCGGAAGAGAUAAGUGCUGAAAGCAUCUAAGCACGAAACUUGCCCCGAGAUGAGUUCUCCCUGACUCCUUGAGAGUCCUGAAGGAACGUUGAAGACGACGACGUUGAUAGGCCGGGUGUGUAAGCGCAGCGAUGCGUUGAGCUAACCGGUACUAAUGAACCGUGAGGCUUAACC